Long non-coding RNA from Pecten maximus, 4114 nucleotides. RefSeq lists it as uncharacterized. The record is from RefSeq and is a predicted model, not a curated record. The transcript is spliced from 2 exons. Lineage: Eukaryota; Metazoa; Mollusca; Bivalvia; Pectinida; Pectinidae.
AUACUUCAGAUAAAUUGAGAUCUUAAUGGUAUUGAAAGUAAUGAACAAAUUUGUCUUUCUUCCUGAUACAAUAUACCAUGUUUAUGGCAAAAACAACUGUUGCGAUUGCAGAGAAAAUUAUCGUUUUUUUUUUUCAAGUGACAUGGCGGGUGGAUAUUUAUUGGUCAUUUCCUAGGCAUAGCAAUGAAGCUACCAAGCUGAAAAUAAGUUAAAAGCUUAAUUCUAUCCUUGAAAACAGGUAAACUUAACAUAUAACAUUACUACUUCAAACUGAUUUCAGGAAACAAAUUUUAGAUAGGUGAUGCAUUCAAAUCAUGAGAUGAACAACAAUAGAUUUUGUUUAUCUAGUAAAUUCUAUCAGCCUUGCUUUUAGUUAAUUGUGUAUAGUCCAUGGCCAUUCUCCCAGGAAAUGUCAUUUAAGGUGGUACAUAUAUUUAUUGUAUUUUUUGCCAUUGACACAUAGAAAUUUAUAAAACUUAAACUUUCACUGCAACUAUGAGCAGUGAAAAUAUACGAUUUUACAUUGAAAAUAUGAAUAAGAUUUUGCAUUGAAAAUAUAAGAUUUUCGUUUUUCACCAAUCACAGCGAACCUUUGCAUUCGAGUUCGGCUCAUUGAAACUUAAUGAUUUUUCGAAUCGAAGCGAAGAUAGAUAAAUGGGUUAUUUUACUGUACAUAUUUCUGAAAUAUUCAGACUAGUUUUUGACAAAAUACUCACUUGACGUAAGCAAAUCAUGCACAGAUUCUCCGACAACAGCAGAAAAAUCUUAAUUGGGUGAUCAGUCCUUUCAAAAUGGCGCCAUCAAGUUGGCGUGGAGUAAUGUCACGAAAAGGUGACGUCAUCAAUUAUGUUACCGAUUCCCGCACUUUUUGACACUCAAUUUUUCAAUGUUUUUAAUUUUGUUUUUUAAGUACAUAAAAUGCAAUAAAAAGAAAAUUUAAUGGUUUCCUGUUUAAUAUAUUAACAUACAUUUCACUCGUACGACAGAAUAUUUCGAUAUUUUUCACUCUUUUUUUUUUUAAUGGCUUAGAAUCCUAAGGGAUAUGUUGAAUGGCAGUAUUUUUCUAUCAAUAUUUACUUAAUAGCAUUGUGUAUAGCAUUGUUUGUGAACAGCCAAUUAAUUAAAAGAAAGCAUUAUGAAAUAAGAAUUAAGGAAAUACAAAUAUGAUAUGCUUUGUUAUGUGAUGUUGGUACAUAUUUUUAAAAGACACUAUUUUUGUUGCUUUCAAACUAAGCAGUGUCGAUAUAACUUGAAAUAUUGUGAAAAUGAAAUACUUCCAUAAUUUACAUCAUAUACAUUGUAUAUGGUUAUUGUUCCAUAAUGAUCAUAUUUCCAUGAUUUAUGUUUUUGGAAAUAUGGUUGAAUAUAUAUUAUGAUUGGCUAAUUCUGAUGAAUAUAAUUGAAGAAAUAAUAUACAAAUAUGUCACUCUGUUUUGAUCGAAAUGAAAAAUUGAUCCAAACAAAAGCACCGUAACAGUUUUAUUGAAUUUCGGUAUCAAAAUCAAAGUACAGAAUACUGAAUGCAAUAUUCCAUGCCAUUCGGAUCAAAUUGUAUUAUUUUAUAUUAUUUUUCUCAUUGCACAUUUGGCCAAAAAUAUUCACCAGAAUUGUAGUUGCAAGAUAUUUUCAUUGCACAGUUUAUUCUUCCAGUUUAUAAUGUGUAUCGAGACGCCAGUAACUGUAAAAUGUUUAAAUGAUUUUGUUCCCUUUGGUCCCAAUGUAGAAUUACAGUUGUAAUACAGAUGAAAUAAUUAACAUGUUGUAAUACAGAUAAAAUAAUUAACAUGUGUGAGUUGUACGAAUUGGUGUAAGCUUUUAUGAUUUUAUUUUAAUUAUUUUCAUAUAUUAUAGUAAAAUGUUCAUUUCCAGAUAGAUGUGUUGUAUUUCCCAUUCCAAACCCUGGCAGUAUAUACAAAUACCACUAUUCCAGGGACGUACCCAUCAAUAUCUAACCACAAAAAAAUGAAUUGGCCCGUAUAAUUGUCACUAACUGUUGAUAGACAGGUUUCACCAAUAAUAAUAUCUAAGUGGUCAUUGUACUAAUUAAAAAGCUGUAAAUUAAGUAAACACUAUAUGUAUUGCGGUAAAGUGAAGACAGAUGAUCAUGAGCCUGCAAGUUGAGAAUUGCUAAUGAAGUGUGGAGAAACAAGAUUUCUUUUAUUUAACGUAGAAUAUUUAACAACAUAAUACAGAGUGUAAAUUCAACAAAAAAUAUCACGGGAUACCCAAGUGUAUUUAUAUAUCAUAUGAUACUGUAACAGUAUACUACAUAUAAUAUCAGAAGGAUUAAGAUAACUGUACACUAGCUAUAUAACCGCUAACGGGAAAAAAAUCAUAACUGUUGUAAGUACAUUGUGUUAAAAUGUUUUCCACUGUUUUAUCGUGCUCCCUCCACGACUUAUCAAACCCUGACAUAAUUUGUGAUGAUGACUACGGUUGUUACGUAACGUGAUAUAGACGAUGAGUUGUGAUAAGCUUCCUACAGCUGCUGUAUACAUUAUGCCGUAUUUGGCAACAAAAUGGUUGUAAAAUUUUUCUUAUUUUUUUUUGCCAUUUUAUUGUCAGUGUUAGUUAAAAUGUGAUUUUGUAUAGAUAUAACAUGUUUUUAAAAGUAAUUUUGUGACUGAUUUGCCCUGUAAUGUAUUUUAUUUUGUGUUCAUGUGUAUCCAUAUAUAUUUCAGAAAUAAUUUUGAACUGUUACUAAGUACUGCUAUCAUCACAGGUCGGAUUGAAAUAUUGAUCAUUUGACCAGGUAAUAGUUCCUGCUGGUAAUUCGAUAUAUACAUAAUCCAGCAUCUCAGUUGGAUGUUGACCGUGCUUUAGUGCCGAGUUAUUUCCUGUUUGUGAUAUCACAGUGACAGAGGUAAUCCCUUGGUCACCUCACAAUUAAAUUACCUUAAUUACCAUAAACUCACAGCUUAUGCCCAAAUUGUAAAUUUUUUCGAAUAAUUGUAACCUGGUAAAUACUGGCCGCACUGUAACUUCAUCCAGAGCUAACUUCUCUUUAACUUGAUCCGGUUAAGGUGUUACUAGUAAGCCAGAGGUCAUGGAUUCCAUCCCUAGUGGAGACAGUGAUUUUAAUAAUAUAGUUCUCCUUUUAGUAGUAGAUGUAUAUUGCUGCUAGUAGUCACCAGUGUAACAUAAGGAAUAAGUUAAUAUAAUGAACAACAGCGUAGAUUUUAUUGGAUGAUCAGUAUUAAUACGGUACUACCGGUACUGUACAAGUGCAAGGAACGGAGAAGCUGAACAAACUUUGGAAUUGAUAAAAUAAUGUGUCGAUUUUUCAGAAUCAUUGUAAAGCAAAUGAGAAAUCUUUGCCGAUAUAAGAUUUUGAAAUAAAAAUAUCCAACUGUGCACUUUCAGUUACAUGAAGUGAACAAAAUAAAUCAUGUUAUCUUAUUGAGUAAUCUAACUUAGAAAAUCUGCAAUGUUCAACAAGGAGGAAUUCCUUUAUAAGAGUUUGUUUAUUUACAAAUAUUGCAGAUUGUGGUCGUAUGUAUAUAUACAUGUAUAUAGCUAAUGUUGUGUUCAUGGACUUGAAUGUAAUGUUCAUCAAAAUACUCAUCAUUUACCAUUGUGGUGUGUUCACUCAAUAGCUUAUAUAUAAUUACUCUUGUGGAAAUUUGUAUAUGUGUAUUGACAUUUUUUGAAGGAAAUGUAAGCUGGACUUUCAAAAAGAAGCAAUAUUUUAUUAUUUGUUCUUGCAGGAUCAGGAGAUAUCUAAAGCCAAUUAAAGGUUUAGAAAGGUUUAGUUUUCUUAGAAAGUUGAGAAAUCUCGGCGAUUUCUCAAAUCAUGAGAUUUUCUAACCUUAUGAAAAGUUAAGAAAUCUAGAUUUUCUCAUAUCAUCAUAUAUUUUAAGCCAAUAAAAGAUUUUUUAGAAAUCUCGUCUGUUUCUUAAAUCACGAGAUAAACGAAUGAAAAGUUUAGAAACCUCAGAAAUUUCUCAAAUAUUGAGAUUUUUAAAAACCAAUGAAGGAUUUAGAAUUACUAUCCUACCGUCCUGAAGUAAGAACAUGUAAUUUAAAACAAAACCUACAAAGUAUCUGUUUACGUCAUGUGUUGUGAACCGUACUGUUUAUUCUCAUACUGAUCAAUAAACCAUGUCAUAUUAAU